GAGAGAGAAAGGAGAAAU
Molecule: microRNA, 18 nt
Filed under: Corchorus olitorius
Lineage: Eukaryota; Viridiplantae; Streptophyta; Magnoliopsida; Malvales; Malvaceae
Description: oan-miR-13
Source: RNAcentral